RNAcentral lists this transfer RNA (69 nucleotides) under Marmota monax (woodchuck). It matches the Rfam family "tRNA". From Rfam's summary of the family: Transfer RNA (tRNA) molecules are approximately 80 nucleotides in length. Their secondary structure includes four short double-helical elements and three loops (D, anti-codon, and T loops). The record is from Rfam by way of RNAcentral. Lineage: Eukaryota; Metazoa; Chordata; Mammalia; Rodentia; Sciuridae.
GGAGUUGUGGCUCAGCGGUAGAGUGCUCGCCUAGCAUGUGCGAGGCCCUGGGUUCGAUCCUCAGCACCA